AACGAACGCUGGCGGCAGGCCUAACACAUGCAAGUCGAGCGAGGACUUCGGUUCUAGCGGCGGACGGGUGAGUAACGCGUGGGAAUGUGCCCUUCUCUACGGAAUAGCCCUGGGAAACUGGGAGUAAUACCGUAUACGCCCUAUUGGGGAAAGAUUUAUCGGAGAAGGAUCAGCCCGCGUUGGAUUAGGUAGUUGGUGGGGUAAUGGCCUACCAAGCCGACGAUCCAUAGCUGGUUUGAGAGGAUGAUCAGCCACACUGGGACUGAGACACGGCCCAGACUCCUACGGGAGGCAGCAGUGGGGAAUCUUAGACAAUGGGGGCAACCCUGAUCUAGCCAUGCCGCGUGAGUGAUGAAGGCCUUAGGGUUGUAAAGCUCUUUCAGCUGGGAAGAUAAUGACGGUACCAGCAGAAGAAGCCCCGGCUAACUCCG
Molecule: ribosomal RNA, 431 nt
Filed under: uncultured bacterium
Lineage: Bacteria
Description: partial 16S ribosomal RNA
Rfam family: Bacterial small subunit ribosomal RNA
Source: RNAcentral